This 236-nucleotide unclassified non-coding RNA is filed under the name Leohumicola verrucosa. Its description in RNAcentral is "partial contains 5.8S ribosomal RNA, internal transcribed spacer 2, and large subunit ribosomal RNA". Lineage: Eukaryota; Fungi; Ascomycota; Leotiomycetes. The record is from RNAcentral.
CGCACAUUGCGCCCCUUGGUAUUCCGAGGGGCAUGCCUGUUCGAGCGUCAUUACAACCCCUCAAGCUCUGCUUGGUGUUGGGGCCUGCCGCACCGGCAGCCCUUAAAAUCAGUGGCGGCGCCAUCUGGCUCUAAGCGUAGUAACUUUCUCGCUACAGGGUCCCGGUGGAUGCUCGCCAUUAACCCCAAUUUUCUAUGGUUGACCUCGGAUCAGGUAGGGAUACCCGCUGAACUUAA